Molecule: long non-coding RNA, 2151 nt
Filed under: Malus domestica (apple)
Lineage: Eukaryota; Viridiplantae; Streptophyta; Magnoliopsida; Rosales; Rosaceae
Description: long non-coding RNA (MDOM_LNC014040)
Source: RNAcentral
GGGUCUAAUUAGUGGCGCCGUUGCUGGGGAUUGUUGUAAUUAAUUUGUGUUUAUCUUAUUCUUAGUUAAUUAUUAUUUUACAUACAUAUAUAUUUUUUAUUUAAUUGCUGAUUUUAUUUUUCAAGUUGGUCUGUUGAUUUUGGGAGAAAUUCAACAAUGGGGUGGGAACUACCACCACCAGGAGGACCACCUAUAUGGGUUUCUUUCGCAAAACAGGGUUUUUAUGGAUUUAUACCUACAGUUUGUGCCUUUUGUUGUUCAAAUACCCAAGAAAUUUUGCAAUGCCUUGAUGGGAAAUAUUUUCUAGACUAUGUGAAGGCACAUAUUAAUAUGAGGAACAACUCAAAAAGGCAUUGGGAUGAUCCCACUUUUGAUUACUACGCUCCAGAUUUGAAAAAGCAUCCUAGUUUUAGAUGGGCAGGUACUAAACAGCCUUUUGAGCAUCCUAAUGUGCCACAAGAUUUAGAGGAAUGAUGUGUAAUUCAAACACCCCAAUGUGCAAUGAGUUAUGACUAUAUGCAGGAAGACGCCAUAAUUGAAGAAUCACCAGGCAAUGACUCUAGCCCAAUGGAGGAAGUUACUGAUCCUGCAAUUUCAACAGAAUUUGCCGCUACCCAAGUCUAUAUACCACACAUUCUCUUUCAAGAGGCUGCAAUGCAACCCACAAAGUUGCGGGAAAGCUUUGAAACUGACAGUGCACCAGCAAAGCCAAUCAUAAUUGCAGAAAUAGAGUGCAAGUCCAUCGAGCAGGCUACAUUCUACAACGGGAAGAAGAAAAAGCUUAACGGUAGCCCAAUCCUUCGUCCAGACAUUCGACCUAUACAUAAAUUAUGGGUAUUACAUACAAGAUUGAAGUCAGCUCAAGGGAAACACAAGCAUCAAUGGAGGGGACCCUAUUUGAUCACAAAGAUUCAUUCACAUAUAAGGGCAAUUAUGAAGAAUUCAACCAACUCGUUAUGUGCCUACUAUUGCCGUAUGAUGCUAUCAAGGAGUGAUUGAUUUUGAAGGAACAAGUGACGUUAUCAUCAGCCUCAUUCACAUCUAUCUAGUUAUAGACGUUAACUAAAGCACUAAUUGGGAGGCAACCAAUUUUUCGAAACUCUUUUCUUUUUAUUUCCGUUCAUUUCAUUUUAUUUUUCGAAGCACAAUUUGGAUUUGUGCACCCGUGCCAAUUCUAUGUUUGCGCCUCUUCUUCUAACCACGAAUGGGAUCUGCAUCAAACCCAACUCACAUGCAUGAGGAGUCCAGAAUCUUUUUCAGAAUAAAUAAAGCACUGAGAACAUAUAGUGAACCAAAGAAAGAUCGUGUACCUUUUUUUUUUUUUUUUUUUUUUUUUUUUUUUUUUUUUUUGAGAAUCGGUGAGCUGGGGCUGCGGAUAUGGCUUCGAAGUUCUGGGUUUCAUUUCUCAAAUCCGAAGUUUGGGGGUUGCAGGUUGUAGCUUGAAUAUGAGAUACGAAUUUGGACAAAAUGGCUAUGGUGGCACGACUAGAAAGUAGAGAUGGGAUGAGGGUUAGAGAUAAGGAGUUUUGACGGCUCUGGACUCGAGGCGAAAUGCUGGAGGGUGUGAAAAAUGAGGCAAUGAGCAAUGGAAUGCUGAAAAGGAUAAAUAGGGUUUCUCUCAACACGUGUGGCUUCGUCAGUGUUGUCCGUGCGUGUUCCGUGUGUGCCAGCAAGCUGGCAGGUUGCGGGUUCGAUUCUCCAAAGCACUGAGAUGGUCAUUUCUUUUUCAUUAUUUUUCUACCGCAUAUUCUCCCUGCACCAGGUCACCGCUUCGAAUCCAGGUGCCUCUGUUUUCUUUUCUUUCUUUACUUUUCUGUUUUAUAAUUUCUUAUUUGCUUGUUUUCUUUCUUUUUGUUUGCUUAUUUAUUUUUAGUUUUUAUUAGUUUUCUUUGGUAGUCUUAUUCAUUUGAGUUAUUUUUAUAGUCUUAUUUUAUUUUUGUCAUGUUUAUUUUAUUUUCCACACCUUGAGGACAAUGUGUGAUUUAAGUUUAUAUUGGGAAAUAGAAUUUCAGAUUUUUAAUUUUUGAGUCAAUAAAAAAAAUUUCAUUCUUUUGAAGUUAAUAUCCAUAGAUUAUUUUAAACAUUAGAACAAAUGGACAUGGUGAAGAUUAAUCCGACAGUAGAGUCUCUUCUAUUUAUCGUUGCUUAGAC